AUUGAACGCUGGCGGCAGGCCUAACACAUGCAAGUCGAGCGGAGCGGCGGACGGGGAAGUAAUGCCUAGGAAUCUGCCUGGUAGUGGGGGAUAACGACCGGAAACGGGCGCUAAUACCGAAUACUAUCACAAGAACCUAGGUCGGAUUAGGUAGUUGGUGGGGUAAAGGCAUACCAAGGCGACGAUCCGUAACUGGUCUGAGAGGAUGAUCAGCCACACUGGAACUGAGACACGGUCCAGACUCCUACGGGAGGCAGCAGUGGGGAAUAUUGGACAAUGGGCGAAAGCCUGAUCCAGCCAUGCCGCGUGUAUGAAGAAGGUCUUCGGUUUGUAAAGCACUUUAAGUUGGGAGGCGUUACCAACAGAAUAAGCACCGGCUAACUUCGUGCCAGCAGCCGCGGUAAUAC
RNAcentral lists this ribosomal RNA (407 nucleotides) under uncultured bacterium. RNAcentral's name for it is "partial 16S ribosomal RNA". It matches the Rfam family "Bacterial small subunit ribosomal RNA", at positions 30 to 526 of the family's 1533-position model. The record is from RNAcentral.